UACGGAGGGGGCAAGCGUUGUUCGGAAUUACUGGGCGUAAAGCGCACGUAGGCGGCUUUGUAAGUUAGGGGUGAAAGCCCGGAGCUCAACUCCGGAAUUGCCUUUAAGACUGCAUCGCUUGAAUCCGGGAGAGGUGAGUGGAAUUCCGAGUGUAGAGGUGAAAUUCGUAGAUAUUCGGAAGAACACCAGUGGCGAAGGCGGCUCACUGGACCGGUAUUGACGCUGAGGUGCGAAAGCGUGGGGAGCAAACAGG
Molecule: ribosomal RNA, 253 nt
Filed under: uncultured bacterium
Lineage: Bacteria
Description: partial 16S ribosomal RNA
Rfam family: Bacterial small subunit ribosomal RNA
Source: RNAcentral